Molecule: long non-coding RNA, 435 nt
Filed under: Malus domestica (apple)
Lineage: Eukaryota; Viridiplantae; Streptophyta; Magnoliopsida; Rosales; Rosaceae
Description: long non-coding RNA (MDOM_LNC021076)
Source: RNAcentral
GAGGAAAGGAGAGAGGGCGAGAAGCGGAGGAGAGAAGAUUAGAAACGGGUUUUCCCCCAACCCAUUUACCCGUGACACCCACACCCAAAUUCCGACGAUUUUCACCGGAUUUCUCACAAAUUGGAUCAAGGUACCACUCCCAAUCAACACCUAGGCCUUCCCUCUUCAUGUUUCACCCAAAAAAUCAUGAAAUUUCGUGGUGAUUUCACGAAGAACACCCACACGGGUGCCACGACCUUUUUGUCCAAAUUCUUCAAAUCUUGACAUGUUUUCUUUCAAUUACUAACACUAUUAGUAUUCCCUUAGGACCUGGAACAAAGCCCAAGCUUUGAUUUGGACGGUGGAGUUGAUUUGAAGGUCGAAUUGGAACUCACCCAAUUCUAGGGUCCGCACGGAAUUUGAUGAAUUUGAAGUGUUUCCAGGCCAAAUUGGCCU